CCUACGGGGUGCAGCAGUGGGGAAUAUUGGACAAUGGGCGAAAGCCUGAUCCAGCCAUGCCGCGUGUGUGAAGAAGGCCUUCGGGUUGUAAAGCACUUUCAGUGGGGAAGAAAGCCUUGGGGCUAAUACCCUCGAGGAAGGACAUCACCCACAGAAGAAGCACCGGCUAACUCCGUGCCAGCAGCCGCGGUAAUACGGAGGGUGCGAGCGUUAAUCGGAAUUACUGGGCGUAAAGCGCGCGUAGGCGGUCUGAUAAGCCGGUUGGGAAAGCCCCGGGCUCAACCUGGGAACGGCAUCCGGAACUGUCAGGCUAGAGUGCAGGAGAGGAAGGUAGAAUUCCCGGUGUAGCGGUGAAAUGCGUAGAGAUCGGGAGGAAUACCAGUGGCGAAGGCGGCCUUCUGGACUGACACUGACGCUGAGGUGCGAAAGCGUGGGUAGCAAACAGGAUUAGAUACCCGGGUAGUC
RNAcentral lists this ribosomal RNA (465 nucleotides) under Vreelandella stevensii. RNAcentral describes it as "partial 16S ribosomal RNA". It matches the Rfam family "Bacterial small subunit ribosomal RNA", at positions 338 to 795 of the family's 1533-position model. Lineage: Bacteria; Pseudomonadati; Pseudomonadota; Gammaproteobacteria; Oceanospirillales; Halomonadaceae. The record is from RNAcentral.